GUUGAAAAGGAGACUAAGACUGUAUAAACAUCUUCAUUGUCAGUUCUCAAAAUGACUGAAAUUGUUUUCAUGGUAAAAGUUAAUAUACUAAAGGGUUCCUUUUUUUUUAAUGUUUACAUUUAUCUCUAUGUUUACCUUUUUAGUCACAUUGACCUGCUGGCUGAAUACCUCAAAUAGUCCAGUAGAGGGCAGUCCACCAGGCAGAAAAGGUUAGGCGUUUUGGUUUCACAUCUUUUGCUGGGAUUAUAGGUGUGAGCCACCGUGCCGGGCCUGGACUUUGUACUUUUUCAAAUCAUAUUUAAUUAUUUCUUGAUCUUUACUCAAAGAAUUAUUCUGCGCUAAAUUUGCAACAUUAAACAAUAAUUAAGCCUGGAUCCGAUAAGUUAUUGGGUGACUAGAACCUACAACACAAUUUAUUUUUAAUUUAAACUCUCAAGUCUGAUUAAACUUGGGGGAAAAACUGAACAUUCAGGUGAUAUUUUAAAUUUUCUUUGUGACUAAAUAGAUGUCAUUAAUAUCAUGCUUCAUCUUACUGUGCAUAGAUGACCCAUGGCACACAAAGUAUAUGUAUAAUAUUGCAAUAUUGUACUUCCAUCUUUAAAAGUAUGCCAAAGACUUCAUAAUGAAUUCACCAUAUUUAAGGAAUAAGGCAAAUUAAUGUUUAUCCGAAAUCAAAAUGAGAUUGGAUAAUUCCUGGAAUCUGAUUUCUGUAAGUUUCAGUCCUAAAGGGACCUUAAAUAUCUACUAGAACGAAGUACAGUGUAUUUCUCAGAUUACAUGACAUUAGUCAACCAAUUUAGUUGUAACACAAAGUGAGAAAGCCUUAGGUGUUGAAGGAGUGUGAAAAUAAAAAUCUCUUUUCAUGCAGUUUCUGCUUCAUUUUCCAAGGAUUAUAAUAUGCUGAGUAAACUUUUGGCACUAAGGAAGCCAGCUACAGGCCACGUAAUGAAAACUAUUCAGAAAACAGUUCAGCAAAUACUACUAUUUGAAUACAGUUCAAAUCGUAUUUAUAUAAAUACUCUGCCUACAUUAUUUAACCCAAACUGGAUUAUUCACCAUUCUUUGAAGAUGCCUUGUGUUUUCUGUUAUCUACUUCUGCUCGUGCAGUUUACUUACACCUUCACCCUUUCAAAUCCUAACUCUUCUUCAAGGCCUGAUUCAGAUUUUAACUUUUUAAAGGCUAUCUGAAUCAUUCAAGGAGAAGAUACCCUUUCUCUCAUAAAAACACUUAGAGCAAACUACCACUAUUAAAUCACUUAUUGCAUACUGCCUCAGAGCCAUGUGUCCAGUUAUUCUGGUUUUUAUCUGGUACCCACACACACAUAAUACUUAGUACAUUUCCUUAUAUGUAAAUAAUUAGUAAUGUAACACAUCGAGUGAAUGAAAUUGUGAUUAGCAAAGUAUGACAGCUAAAAACAAAGGAAAUUUUGUAUAGUUUAAGUUUUUGUACAGCAGAAGGUAAUGGAAAAUAUUUGCAACAUAUGACAGUGUUUUUAAUGUCUUAAGUAUAUGAAGAAUUUGUUUCAAUUGGUAAGAAAAGACCAACUGAAAAAUAGGCAAAACAUACCAAAUUUCGAUUCACAAAAAGAUACAAAUGGCCAACAAAACAUGAAACACCUUGAACCCCAUUGGUUACAAAAAAUACAAAUAAAAACAAUGCUGACUGACAAUAAAAAUAAUGUACAUCUUGCUAUUAGCAGAGUUGUGGGGAAAUCCUGUCAUAUUUUGGUGAAUAGAAUAUGAGUUGGUAUAUCACUUUUAGGGGGCCAUUUGGCAAUAUCAAAAACCUUGAAACGUAAGUAUAAACUUCAGUUUGUUCGUAUAACCUGUCAUUCACAUAUUGAGUGCCUACUAUGUCCUAAAUAUUGGAAUAACACUAAUAAAGCUCAUAAGAG
RNAcentral lists this long non-coding RNA (1895 nucleotides) under Homo sapiens (human). Its description in RNAcentral is "long non-coding RNA NONHSAT204592.1". The record is from RNAcentral. Lineage: Eukaryota; Metazoa; Chordata; Mammalia; Primates; Hominidae.